UUGCAGGCAAUUAAGCCGACUGUGCUCUUUUCCCCGUGAGAGCCUGGUGUGCAAUGGCUACAGACCAGCAACCUCCUUGACAAUGUAUUCAGCCUGUUGCCUGUAAGGGUUGCCCUAAGGGACCUUGGAGACAGAC
This 136-nucleotide small nucleolar RNA is filed under the name Cervus elaphus hippelaphus. RNAcentral's name for it is "Small nucleolar RNA SNORA70". It matches the Rfam family "Small nucleolar RNA SNORA70". Rfam says of the family: snoRNA U70 seems to be exclusive to mammals and is a member of the H/ACA class of snoRNA which contain H (ANANNA) and ACA box motifs. RNAcentral also lists the same sequence under 1 other name. The record is from Rfam by way of RNAcentral. Lineage: Eukaryota; Metazoa; Chordata; Mammalia; Artiodactyla; Cervidae.